GAUGAACGCUGGCGGCGUGCCUAAUACAUGCAAGUCGAGCGAACAGAUGAGGAGCUUGCUCCUCUGACGUUAGCGGCGGACGGGUGAGUAACACGUGGAUAACCUACCUAUAAGACUGGGAUAACUUCGGGAAACCGGAGCUAAUACCGGAUAAUAUAUUGAACCGCAUGGUUCAAUAGUGAAAGACGGUUUUGCUGUCACUUAUAGAUGGAUCCGCGCCGCAUUAGCUAGUUGGUAAGGUAACGGCUUACCAAGGCAACGAUGCGUAGCCGACCUGAGAGGGUGAUCGGCCACACUGGAACUGAGACACGGUCCAGACUCCUACGGGAGGCAGCAGUAGGGAAUCUUCCGCAAAGGGCGAAAGCCUGACGGAGCAACGCCGCGUGAGCGAUGAAGGUCUUCGGAUCGUAAAACUCUGUUAUUAGGGAAGAACAAAUGUGUAAGUAACUAUGCACGUCUUGACGGUACCUAAUCAGAAAGCCACGGCUAACUACGUG
Molecule: ribosomal RNA, 497 nt
Filed under: uncultured bacterium
Lineage: Bacteria
Description: partial 16S ribosomal RNA
Rfam family: Bacterial small subunit ribosomal RNA
Source: RNAcentral